This 404-nucleotide ribosomal RNA is filed under the name uncultured bacterium. RNAcentral's name for it is "bacterial SSU rRNA". It matches the Rfam family "Bacterial small subunit ribosomal RNA", at positions 355 to 776 of the family's 1533-position model. The record is from RNAcentral.
UGGGGAAUCUUGCACAAUGGGCGAAAGCCUGAUGCAGCGACGCCGCGUGGAGGAUGAAGGCCUUCGGGUUGUAAACUCCUUUUGUAGGGGACAAUAAUGAUGGUACCCUAUGAAUAAGCCACGGCUAACUCUGUGCCAGCAGCCGCGGUAAGACAGAGGUGGCGAGCGUUGUUCGGAAUUACUGGGCUUAAAGGGCGCGUAGGCGGUGGGGUAAGUCUGAGGUGGAAUGCCACAGCCCAACUGUGGAACUGCCUUGGAAACUGCUUCACUUGAGUUAGACAGGGGAAGGCGGAAUUCCUGGUGUAGCGGUGAAAUGCGUAGAUAUCAGGAGGAAGGCCAGUGGUGAAGACGGCCUUCUGGGUCUUAACUGACGCUGAGGCGCGAAAGCGUGGGGAGCAAACAGG